RNAcentral lists this ribosomal RNA (465 nucleotides) under uncultured bacterium. RNAcentral describes it as "partial 16S ribosomal RNA". It matches the Rfam family "Bacterial small subunit ribosomal RNA", at positions 28 to 507 of the family's 1533-position model. The record is from RNAcentral.
GACGAACGCUGGCGGCGUGCUUAACACAUGCAAGUCGAACGGAAAGGCCCCUUUGGGGGUACUCGAGUGGCGAACGGGUGCGUAACACGUGAGUAACCUGCCCUUGACUUCGGGAUAACUUCAGGAAACUGGGGCUAAUACCGGAUAGGAAUCCUUGCUGCAUGGUGGGGGUUGGAAAGCUUCGGCGGUUUUGGAUGGACUCGCGGCUUAUCAGCUUGUUGGUGGGGUAGUGGCUUACCAAGGCUUUGACGGGUAGCCGGCCUGAGAGGGCGACCGGCCACAUUGGGACUGAGAUACGGCCCAGACUCCUACGGGAGGCAGCAGUGGGGAAUAUUGCACAAUGGGCGGAAGCCUGAUGCAGCAACGCCGCGUGCGGGAUGACGGCCUUCGGGUUGUAAACCGCUUUCAGCAGGGGUGAAGCUUGUGGUGACGGUACCUGCAGAAGAAGCACCGGCUAACUACGUG